AACCUUACGCAAUAGCAAUAUCAUAACCAAUGAAGGAUCACCUGAUUAUAUGAUUAUUGCUAGCUGAAAACCUUUUAGGCGCCACGAUAGCCGAGAAGUUAAAGACGAUGCACGCCGAGCUGAUUGUGAUACUGGGUUCGAUUCCUUGUCUACUAGUUAUUGUAAAGAAAUUUAUAGUAAAGUAUAUUUGCU
This 192-nucleotide small nuclear RNA is filed under the name Rhodnius prolixus. Its description in RNAcentral is "U4 spliceosomal RNA". Lineage: Eukaryota; Metazoa; Arthropoda; Insecta; Hemiptera; Reduviidae. The record is from RNAcentral.